ACCAUACGUGGUGCAUAAAGAAUUACUCUACACAAUAAUGAGGGAGUGCUAGCUUUUAUUAUCUCUCCUUGAGGAAGGAAAAUUUAUUGAUUGGAUUUGGUUCAAAGUAGACCACAAAUAAUUAAUAACUUUUCUGUUAUCAUAUAUUUAAUACCUUUUCCUCCUUAAUAAUACACCCUGCAUAGUAAAUUAUCGCUGGUUUGAAUGCUCUUGAACUAGCUCCAACCAAUAACU
RNAcentral lists this long non-coding RNA (234 nucleotides) under Elaeis guineensis (African oil palm). Its description in RNAcentral is "long non-coding RNA (EGUI_LNC021500)". Lineage: Eukaryota; Viridiplantae; Streptophyta; Magnoliopsida; Arecales; Arecaceae. The record is from RNAcentral.